UACGUAGGGAGCAAGCGUUGUCCGGAAUCAUUGGGCGUAAAGCGCGCGUAGGUGGCUUCGUAAGUCCGUUGUGAAAGUCAAAGGCUCAACCUUUGAAAGCCGAUGGAUACUGCGGAGCUAGAGUACGGAAGAGGCGAGUGGAAUUCCUGGUGUAGCGGUGGAAUGCGCAGAUAUCAGGAGGAACACCAAUAGCGAAGGCAGCUCGCUGGGACGUUACUGACACUGGGGCGCGAAAGCGUGGGGAGCGAACAGG
This 253-nucleotide ribosomal RNA is filed under the name uncultured bacterium. RNAcentral's name for it is "partial 16S ribosomal RNA". It matches the Rfam family "Bacterial small subunit ribosomal RNA", at positions 524 to 776 of the family's 1533-position model. The record is from RNAcentral.